GGCACUAUGGCCGAGUGGUUAAGGCGAGAGACUCGAAUUAAUAGUUCUCAAAGAAUUUGUUCGGCUAUCUCUUGGGCUCUGCCCGCGCUGGUUCAAAUCCUGCUGGUGUCG
Molecule: transfer RNA, 111 nt
Filed under: Kazachstania africana CBS 2517
Lineage: Eukaryota; Fungi; Ascomycota; Saccharomycetes; Saccharomycetales; Saccharomycetaceae
Rfam family: tRNA
About the family: Transfer RNA (tRNA) molecules are approximately 80 nucleotides in length.
Source: Rfam by way of RNAcentral